Nomascus leucogenys (northern white-cheeked gibbon) is the source of this 148-nucleotide non-coding RNA. It matches the Rfam family "Metazoan signal recognition particle RNA". From Rfam's summary of the family: The signal recognition particle (SRP) is a universally conserved ribonucleoprotein. It is involved in the co-translational targeting of proteins to membranes. The eukaryotic SRP consists of a 300-nucleotide 7S RNA and six proteins: SRPs 72, 68, 54, 19, 14, and 9. Lineage: Eukaryota; Metazoa; Chordata; Mammalia; Primates; Hylobatidae. The record is from Rfam.
GCUGGGCGUGGUGGAGCAUGCCUGUAAUCCCAGCUACUUGGGAGCCUGAGGCAGGAGAAUUGCUUGAACCUGGGAGGCAGAGGUUGCGGUGAGCCGAGAUCACGCCACUGCACUCCAGCCUGGGUGACAGAGCAAGACCCUGUCUCAA